ACGUCUCGACGUGCAACGCGAAGAACCUUACCUGGUCUUGACAUCCACAGAACUUUCCAGAGAUGGAUUGGUGCCUCUCGGGAACUGUGAGACAGGUGCUGCAUGGCUGUCGUCAGCUCGUGUUGUGAAAUGUUGGGUUAAGUCCCGCAACGAGCGCAACCCUUAUCCUUUGUUGCCAGCGGUUAGGCCGGGAACUCAAAGGAGACUGCCAGUGAUAAACUGGAGGAAGGUGGGGAUGACGUCAAGUCAUCAUGGCCCCCUUACGACCAGGGCUACACACGUGCUACAAUGGCAUAUACAAAGAGAAGCGACCUCGCGAGAGCAAGCGGACCUCAUAGAAGUAUGUCGUAGUCCGGAUUGGAGUCUGCAACUCGACUCCAUGAAGUCGGAAUCGCUAGUAAUCGUAGAUCAGAAUGCUACGGUGAAUAUCGUUCCCGGGCCUUGUACACACCGCCCGUCACACCAUGGGAGUGGGUUGCAAAAGAAGUAGGUAGCUUAACCUUCGGGAGGGCYUUAGCCU
RNAcentral lists this ribosomal RNA (520 nucleotides) under Klebsiella pneumoniae. RNAcentral's name for it is "bacterial SSU rRNA". It matches the Rfam family "Bacterial small subunit ribosomal RNA", at positions 946 to 1459 of the family's 1533-position model. The record is from RNAcentral. Lineage: Bacteria; Pseudomonadati; Pseudomonadota; Gammaproteobacteria; Enterobacterales; Enterobacteriaceae.